RNAcentral lists this unclassified non-coding RNA (121 nucleotides) under uncultured Tremella. RNAcentral's name for it is "sequence contains ITS2". The record is from RNAcentral. Lineage: Eukaryota; Fungi; Basidiomycota; Tremellomycetes; Tremellales; Tremellaceae.
GGACUCAACCCCGAGGUUUCUUGGGUGUUGGACUUGGGCGCUGCCUCCCGGCUCGCCCCAAAUGCGUUAGCGGUUCCGGUGUUUAAGUACCGUCGGCCCGCUCAUAUCACCAUCUUUUGAC